RNAcentral lists this ribosomal RNA (196 nucleotides) under uncultured Eubacteriales bacterium. Its description in RNAcentral is "uncultured Clostridiales bacterium partial 16S ribosomal RNA". It matches the Rfam family "Bacterial small subunit ribosomal RNA", at positions 335 to 540 of the family's 1533-position model. Lineage: Bacteria; Bacillati; Bacillota; Clostridia; Eubacteriales. The record is from RNAcentral.
ACUCCUACGGGAGGCAGCAGUGGGGAAUAUUGCACAAUGGGCGAAAGCCUGAUGCAGCAACGCCGCGUGAGUGAUGAAGGCCUUCGGGUUGUAAAGCUCUGUCUUUGGGGACGAUAAUGACGGUACCCAAGGAGGAAGCCACGGCUAACUACGUGCCAGCAGCCGCGGUAAAUAACAUAGCCGCAGCCGCGGUAAU